This 244-nucleotide ribosomal RNA is filed under the name uncultured bacterium. Its description in RNAcentral is "partial 16S ribosomal RNA". It matches the Rfam family "Bacterial small subunit ribosomal RNA", at positions 524 to 765 of the family's 1533-position model. The record is from RNAcentral.
UACGUAGGGUGCGAGCGUUAAUCGGAAUUACUGGGCGUAAAGCGUGCGCAGGCGGCGCGUUAAGACAGGUGUGAAAGCCCCCGAGCUUAACUUGGGAAUUGCGCUUGUGACUGGCGAGCUGGAGUGUGGCAGAGGGAGGUGGAAUUCCACGUGUAGCAGUGAAAUGCGUAGAGAUGUGGAGGAACACCGAUGGCGAAGGCAGCCCUCCUGGGCCAGCACUGACGCUCAUGCACGAAAGCGUGGG